This 504-nucleotide ribosomal RNA is filed under the name uncultured bacterium. Its description in RNAcentral is "bacterial SSU rRNA". It matches the Rfam family "Bacterial small subunit ribosomal RNA", at positions 9 to 526 of the family's 1533-position model. The record is from RNAcentral.
GAGUUUGAUCCUGGCUCAGGACGAACGCUGGCGGCGCGCCUAACACAUGCAAGUCGAACGAGCGAGAGGGAGCUUGCUUUCUCGAGCGAGUGGCGAACGGGUGAGUAACGCGUGAGGAACCUGCCUCAAAGAGGGGGACAACAGUUGGAAACGACUGCUAAUACCGCAUAAGCCCACAGGUCGGCAUCGACCAGAGGGAAAAGGAGCAAUCCGCUUUGAGAUGGCCUCGCGUCCGAUUAGCUAGUUGGUGAGGUAACGGCCCACCAAGGCGACGAUCGGUAGCCGGACUGAGAGGUUGAUCGGCCACAUUGGGACUGAGAUACGGCCCAGACUCCUACGGGAGGCAGCAGUGGGGGAUAUUAGACAAUGGGGGAAACCCUGAUCUAGCAACGCCGCGUGAAGGAUGAAGGUCUUCGGAUUGUAAACUUCUUCGACGAGGGAAGAUAAUGACGGUACCUCGAGAACAAGCCACGGCUAACUACGUGCCAGCCGCCGCGGUAAUAC